UACGGAAGGUCCAGGCGUUAUCCGGAUUUAUUGGGUUUAAAGGGAGCGUAGGCGGGAUAAUAAGUCAGUUGUGAAAGUUUGGGGCUCAACCUUAAAAUUGCAAUUGAUACUGUUAUUCUUGAGUGCACGCAGGGGUGCCGGAAUUCAUAGUGUAGCGGUGAAAUGCUUAGAUAUUAUGAAGAACUCCGAUCGCGAAGGCAAGUGCCCGGAGUGCUACUGACGCUGAGGCUCGAAAGUGCGGGUAUCAAACAGG
RNAcentral lists this non-coding RNA (253 nucleotides) under uncultured Prevotella sp. RNAcentral describes it as "partial 16S ribosomal RNA". It matches the Rfam family "Bacterial small subunit ribosomal RNA", at positions 524 to 776 of the family's 1533-position model. RNAcentral also lists the same sequence under 1 other name. Lineage: Bacteria; Pseudomonadati; Bacteroidota; Bacteroidia; Bacteroidales; Prevotellaceae. The record is from RNAcentral.